RNAcentral lists this long non-coding RNA (221 nucleotides) under Ictidomys tridecemlineatus (thirteen-lined ground squirrel). RNAcentral's name for it is "lncRNA (ENSSTOG00000033498.1)". Lineage: Eukaryota; Metazoa; Chordata; Mammalia; Rodentia; Sciuridae. The record is from RNAcentral.
AUGGGGCCUGGCCAGAUAAAGUAGCCACCUGGCCCCACUUGUCUGCUCUAUUCCCAAAGACUCGUGAUCUCUAGCUGCCCACAUAGAGACGAAAGAUUGCAAGAAGGAAAGACAAGGGACCUCAAGAAGUCACUGAGUUUGAACCCUGUGGGAUUUGGUCUGAAAGUGCAGGAUAGAGUCCCUCCCUGGCUGGGGUGCAGCUGGGGUGCACUGGGGUGCAC